This is a long non-coding RNA of Galeopterus variegatus (Sunda flying lemur), 1462 nucleotides long. RefSeq lists it as uncharacterized. The record is from RefSeq and is a predicted model, not a curated record. NCBI's taxonomy places the organism in Eukaryota, Metazoa, Chordata, Mammalia, Dermoptera, Cynocephalidae. The transcript is spliced from 3 exons.
AAUAGGGCUGGGGAAUGAGCUCCGGAGGUCAAUAAAGCCCUCCAAAAAUGAUGAAUGAUUGAGCACCUGUGAUGAUGAUAGUGAUUACCAGAGCAAUUAAACAGUUUGAUUAAAUGAGCCAUCAUAACAAUGAUGUCUGCGGGAAAUCGGCCCUCACAUAUAAAGAAAGAUAGUACGGAGGGGCUGGCAGAGGCGCGGACAGCGCGACGCCAGGGAGAGGGACGGUGGACCGCGAGAUUUUUGCCCGGGUGGCCCAAGCGGGGACGGCCAGGCUCGCGGAGCUUCAGAUAGAACAGUUUAGCCCAGAUUUUCAGCCACUCUUUUUGCCAGGCUACAAGCCUGCAAGAGCCGACGGGUAUGAAACCUGAAGGUUGGGGGAGGGUCCUUUCCUCUCCACCCCUUUUUUUUUUUUUUUUUUUUUUUCUAGAAGAACUCCAAGAUUAAAAGUAUCCUCCUUAUUUGUUGCUGAGUUGCUCGUCGGCAUAUUAGAAAAGCGUCUCCGCUGGAGGUGGUUUGGAGAGGCUUAAAACUGCAUUUGUGAAGUUUGGAGGAAGGAAAUCAGACACUGGCGUCACGGCUAGUGGACCCCAGCUAAGUUUCAGGAUUCCUUCUGCGUCUGAUAAAAAAGACAGGGACACUUCUGGACUAGCUGUAAGGAUGUGUUUUCGUUUCCAUAACUCUGAAGUACUUUUUAUAAACCUUUUAAUGUAUUUGAAUAAGUUUAUUUGGACAUUUAAAAAAGCUACACAGAUGAAGGUAGCUUGGCUUUAUGCCGUCAAUCCCAGAGUUAAAAAAAAAAAAAAAAUCCAGAAUCUAACCGAGAAGCUUUUCCAUACCCAUUCUCGCCUCUAAAUAAAUAAAUAAAUAAAAAUAUAAAUAAAUAUAUAUAUAAAUAAAAAAUAAAAUAAAAAGUGCAAAGCGAGUUGCCAGCCUGCAUCUGUACGUCUUCGUGUGCGCAUUUAUAAACAUCUUCCAGUCCGUGUUUGCGUGUCACCUCCUUCCUGCCAUGCACUCGAAGGCAGAGGCAUCGAGGGAUCGCCCCCAGAGAGCUGUGUUUACUUAGGUUUUUUUUAAUCUCUCCGCCAUGUAUGACAAGUGUUACUUCAAGAAAUUCAUCAGCCUUCUACAGAUACUUCCAGUUUUGCCGUAAUGAUCUGCAGAAGAGAACUGCCAUCACUUUCUCACAUCUCAAGGUGUUGCAGGAACUCAGAGAGAGGGGAGAGUGGCUGAAACGCUUAAUUACCGUGCAGGAGGGAGGGGCACAUUGCGGGGGACCGAAGGAGGGGAGAGUGAGGAAGGAGGUCCCUUACCCGGCUAGUACCUGCAGAAAUCUCCGAGUUGCUUCUCUGCGAAUAUUUGGAAAAGGUACGGUUGCCUUUUUUUUUUUUUUUUAAUGCCUUUAGGGAGAAGUGAUACCCUUGUGUAACAAUUAGCUUAGACAAUAAAAAUAAUUGGAAAAUCA